GGAGAAGCGUCAGCUCAAGAGACUAUUGUUGUCAUUGCUGUGGAUCUUUACCUGAUACACUGACUUGGCUCGGGACCAGCACUCCUGUUGUUGGACAGAAAGACAUCAACUCAGUGACUUGAGAUAUGACUGCACUAUGCUGUUGCUGGUGACCACAGUUAAUUCUACAAGACAUGCUGUGACAACAGGAGAGAUGAGUCCUCCGUCACAGAUGGUGUGGUCAGGGAAGAUGGUCGCCUGCAGGUUCAAGCUCAUUGCAUCUCCAACCCACAUCCACUGCCACUGUACUUA
This is a long non-coding RNA of Pelmatolapia mariae (spotted tilapia), 291 nucleotides long. RefSeq lists it as uncharacterized. The record is from RefSeq and is a predicted model, not a curated record. NCBI's taxonomy places the organism in Eukaryota, Metazoa, Chordata, Actinopteri, Cichliformes, Cichlidae. The transcript has 4 exons.